Molecule: ribosomal RNA, 158 nt
Filed under: Cercis canadensis var. canadensis
Lineage: Eukaryota; Viridiplantae; Streptophyta; Magnoliopsida; Fabales; Fabaceae
Description: 5.8S ribosomal RNA
Rfam family: 5.8S ribosomal RNA
About the family: 5.8S ribosomal RNA (5.8S rRNA) is a component of the large subunit of the eukaryotic ribosome.
Source: RNAcentral
CGACUCUCGGCAACGGAUAUCUUGGCUCUCGCAUCGAUGAAGAACGUAGCGAAAUGCGAUACUUGUGUGAAGUGCAGAAUCCCGUGAACCAUCGAGUCUUUGAACGCAAGUUGCGCCCGAAGCCAUUAGGCCGAGGGCACGUCUGCCUGGGUGUCAAA